Molecule: small nucleolar RNA, 131 nt
Organism: Echinops telfairi (small Madagascar hedgehog)
Lineage: Eukaryota; Metazoa; Chordata; Mammalia; Afrosoricida; Tenrecidae
Source: RefSeq, a predicted model, not a curated record
CCCCGGUUAAAAGCAUUUGUUGAGUCUUUUGCUCAGUCUGAGCUGUCAAGACAGGGCAGAAUAAAAACACUGCUUUUGGGUGAAGUGGUAACAUCUUGUGUUGGUAAGCUUCAAUCUGUGUCAUGACAGAG